GGCCAGGAGGCCCUGAAGCGGCGGCUGGAGCUGAGGGCAGGAGUCCCUGAAGCGGCGGCUGGAGAUCAGAUGUGGAGGCCAGGAGAAGGACAAUCCAACGGCUGCUGAAGGAAGGACUGAGGCGGUCGACUGGAGGUCCUUCAGUCGGAGGUCCCUGCGGUGGUCGGCUGGAGGUACUCGUGGCAGAGACCCAGUAUGGUGACUGAGCAGUCGAUCUACACAAUCGUCCUACUCCCCUCCACCCUGAAGAUCCAUGGCUACACCUGCACACCCUACAGCUUCAUGCAUCUACACCCAACAUCACCAAUCUAAGCUACACACUCCCACCCAUCCUGACAACACUCACUACUGUUUUAACUUUUAAAACAAACAUUAUGUCACUCCACAUUUUUGGGGCAGUAUGUUGAGUUUAAUCUUGAUUUGUCUA
This is a long non-coding RNA of Gadus macrocephalus (Pacific cod), 427 nucleotides long. RefSeq lists it as uncharacterized. NCBI's taxonomy places the organism in Eukaryota, Metazoa, Chordata, Actinopteri, Gadiformes, Gadidae. The transcript has 3 exons. The record is from RefSeq and is a predicted model, not a curated record.